RNAcentral lists this ribosomal RNA (442 nucleotides) under uncultured bacterium. RNAcentral describes it as "partial 16S ribosomal RNA". It matches the Rfam family "Bacterial small subunit ribosomal RNA", at positions 338 to 795 of the family's 1533-position model. The record is from RNAcentral.
CCUACGGGAGGCAGCAGUAGGGAAUCUUUCACAAUGGGCGAAAGCCUGAUGGAGCAACGCCGCGUGCAGGAUGAAGGCCUUCGGGUUGUAAACUGCUUUUAUAAGCGAGAAAUAUGAUGGUAACUUAUGAAUAAGGAUCGGCUAACUACGUGCCAGCAGCCGCGGUCAUACGUAGGAUCCGAGCAUUAUCCGGAGUGACUGGGUGUAAAGAGUUGCGUAGGUGGCAUAAUAAGUAGCUAGUGAAAUCUGGUGGCUCAACCAUUCAGACUAUUAGCUAAACUGUUAAGCUCGAGACCGUUAGGGGUAACUGGAAUUUCUAGUGUAGGAGUGAAAUGCGUAGAUAUUAGAAGGAACACCAAUGGCGUAGGCAGGUUACUGGAACGGUUCUGACACUAAGGCACGAAAGCGUAGGGAGCAAACGGGAUUAGAUACCCUAGUAGUC